Molecule: ribosomal RNA, 253 nt
Filed under: uncultured bacterium
Lineage: Bacteria
Description: partial 16S ribosomal RNA
Rfam family: Bacterial small subunit ribosomal RNA
Source: RNAcentral
UACGUAGGGCGCAAGCGUUGUCCGGAAUUAUUGGGCGUAAAGAGCUCGUAGGUGGCUUGUCACGUCGGGUGUGAAAGCUUGGGGCUUAACUCCAGGUCUGCAUUCGAUACGGGCUGGCUAGAGGUAGGUAGGGGAGAACGGAAUUCCUGGUGUAGCGGUGAAAUGCGCAGAUAUCAGGAGGAACACCGGUGGUGUAAACGGCUUUCUGGACCGUAACUGACGCUGAGGCACGAAAGCGUGGGGAGCAAACAGG